This 1460-nucleotide ribosomal RNA is filed under the name Acinetobacter sp. AB1(2011). RNAcentral describes it as "bacterial SSU rRNA". It matches the Rfam family "Bacterial small subunit ribosomal RNA". Lineage: Bacteria; Pseudomonadati; Pseudomonadota; Gammaproteobacteria; Moraxellales; Moraxellaceae. The record is from RNAcentral. RNAcentral also lists the same sequence under 1 other name.
AUUGAACGCUGGCGGCAGGCUUAACACAUGCAAGUCGAGCGGAGAUGAGGUGCUUGCACCUUAUCUUAGCGGCGGACGGGUGAGUAAUGCUUAGGAAUCUGCCUAUUAGUGGGGGACAACAUUCCGAAAGGAAUGCUAAUACCGCAUACGCCCUACGGGGGAAAGCAGGGGAUCUUCGGACCUUGCGCUAAUAGAUGAGCCUAAGUCGGAUUAGCUAGUUGGUGGGGUAAAGGCCUACCAAGGCGACGAUCUGUAGCGGGUCUGAGAGGAUGAUCCGCCACACUGGGACUGAGACACGGCCCAGACUCCUACGGGAGGCAGCAGUGGGGAAUAUUGGACAAUGGGCGGAAGCCUGAUCCAGCCAUGCCGCGUGUGUGAAGAAGGCCUUUUGGUUGUAAAGCACUUUAAGCGAGGAGGAGGCUACUUAGAUUAAUACUCUAGGAUAGUGGACGUUACUCGCAGAAUAAGCACCGGCUAACUCUGUGCCAGCAGCCGCGGUAAUACAGAGGGUGCGAGCGUUAAUCGGAUUUACUGGGCGUAAAGCGUGCGUAGGCGGCUGAUUAAGUCGGAUGUGAAAUCCCUGAGCUUAACUUAGGAAUUGCAUUCGAUACUGGUCAGCUAGAGUAUGGGAGAGGAUGGUAGAAUUCCAGGUGUAGCGGUGAAAUGCGUAGAGAUCUGGAGGAAUACCGAUGGCGAAGGCAGCCAUCUGGCCUAAUACUGACGCUGAGGUACGAAAGCAUGGGGAGCAAACAGGAUUAGAUACCCUGGUAGUCCAUGCCGUAAACGAUGUCUACUAGCCGUUGGGGCCUUUGAGGCUUUAGUGGCGCAGCUAACGCGAUAAGUAGACCGCCUGGGGAGUACGGUCGCAAGACUAAAACUCAAAUGAAUUGACGGGGGCCCGCACAAGCGGUGGAGCAUGUGGUUUAAUUCGAUGCAACGCGAAGAACCUUACCUGGCCUUGACAUAGUAAGAACUUUCCAGAGAUGGAUUGGUGCCUUCGGGAACUUACAUACAGGUGCUGCAUGGCUGUCGUCAGCUCGUGUCGUGAGAUGUUGGGUUAAGUCCCGCAACGAGCGCAACCCUUUUCCUUAUUUGCCAGCGAGUAAUGUCGGGAACUUUAAGGAUACUGCCAGUGACAAACUGGAGGAAGGCGGGGACGACGUCAAGUCAUCAUGGCCCUUACGGCCAGGGCUACACACGUGCUACAAUGGUCGGUACAAAGGGUUGCUACCUAGCGAUAGGAUGCUAAUCUCAAAAAGCCGAUCGUAGUCCGGAUUGGAGUCUGCAACUCGACUCCAUGAAGUCGGAAUCGCUAGUAAUCGCGGAUCAGAAUGCCGCGGUGAAUACGUUCCCGGGCCUUGUACACACCGCCCGUCACACCAUGGGAGUUUGUUGCACCAGAAGUAGGUAGUCUAACCGCAAGGAGGACGCUUACCACGGUGUGGCCGAUGACUGGGGUG